GUAGGGAAUAUUGGACAAUGGGGGGAACCCUGAUCCAGCCAUGUCGCGUGGAGGAAGACUGCCCUCUGGGUUGUAAACUCCUUUUAUAUGGGAAGAACCGUCCUCAUUAAUGAGUGACCUGACGGUACCAUAGGAAUAAGCACCGGCUAACUCCGUGCCAGCAGCCGCGGUAAUACGGAGGGUGCAAGCGUUAUCCGGAUUCACUGGGUUUAAAGGGUGCGUAGGCGGAUAAAUAAGUCAGUGGUGAAAUCAACGGGCUCAACCUGUUAACUGCCAUUGAUACUGUGUAUCUUGAAUAUGAGAGAGGUAGGCGGAAUGUUGCAUGUAGCGGUGAAAUGCUUAGAUAUGCUACGGAACACCGAUUGCGAAGGCAGCUUACUAUUUCGUAAUUGACGCUGAGGCACGAAAGCGUGGGUAGCGAACAGGAUUAGAAACCCUUGUAGUCC
This 446-nucleotide ribosomal RNA is filed under the name uncultured bacterium. Its description in RNAcentral is "partial 16S ribosomal RNA". It matches the Rfam family "Bacterial small subunit ribosomal RNA", at positions 354 to 796 of the family's 1533-position model. The record is from RNAcentral.